RNAcentral lists this unclassified non-coding RNA (375 nucleotides) under Crinitomyces flavificans. RNAcentral describes it as "Trichosporiella flavificans sequence contains 18S rRNA gene, ITS1, 5.8S rRNA gene, ITS2, 28S rRNA gene". The stretch from base 111 to 258 matches the Rfam family "5.8S ribosomal RNA". The record is from RNAcentral. Lineage: Eukaryota; Fungi; Ascomycota; Dipodascomycetes; Dipodascales; Trichomonascaceae.
AGUCGUAACAAGGUUUCCGUAGGUGAACCUGCGGAAGGAUCAUUAUUAAUAUUUUGAUAUUAGUGAAUUUGUUUUAUAAGAUUAUUAAAGUAGUUUGGAAAAUAUUUUAAAACUUUCAACAACGGAUCUCUUGGUUCUCGCAUCGAUGAAGAACGCAGCAAAACGCGAUAUGCCUUGUGAAUUGCAGAGUGAAACAUUGAUUUUUGAACGCACAUUGCACCUAAAGGUAUUCCUUUAGGUAUGGCUGGAUGAGCGACUUUUCAAUUGUGAACGUAAUUUACUUCAUGAAAGAAUAACAACGAAACUAAUUUCUUUUUGAAAAACUUCGUCCUCACCUCAACCAAGAUUACCCGCUGAACCUAAGCAUAUCAAUAA